Molecule: signal recognition particle RNA, 97 nt
Filed under: Pseudomonas profundi
Lineage: Bacteria; Pseudomonadati; Pseudomonadota; Gammaproteobacteria; Pseudomonadales; Pseudomonadaceae
Also listed under: 1 other name
Description: signal recognition particle sRNA small type
Rfam family: Bacterial small signal recognition particle RNA
About the family: The signal recognition particle (SRP) is a universally conserved ribonucleoprotein involved in the co-translational targeting of proteins to membranes. Archaeal SRP consists of a 7S RNA and homologues of the eukaryotic SRP19 and SRP54 proteins.
Source: RNAcentral
UGUCGGUCCCCUCGCAAUGAUUCGCCGUGAACCUGGUCAGGCCCGGAAGGGAGCAGCCACAGCGGUUACAUCGUGUGCCGGGGUGUGGCUGGCAGGG